This 432-nucleotide ribosomal RNA is filed under the name uncultured bacterium. RNAcentral's name for it is "partial 16S ribosomal RNA". It matches the Rfam family "Bacterial small subunit ribosomal RNA", at positions 29 to 507 of the family's 1533-position model. The record is from RNAcentral.
AACGAACGCUGGCGGCAUGCCUAACACGUGCAAGUCGAACGAGACCUUCGGGUCUAGUGGCGCACGGGUGCGUAACGCGUGGGAACCUGCCCUUAGGUUCGGAAUAACUCCCCGAAAGGGGUGCUAAUACCGGAUAAUGUCUUCGGACCAAAGAUUUAUCGCCUUGGAUGGGCCCGCGUUGGAUUAGCUAGUUGGUAGGGUAAAAGCCUACCAAGGCGACGAUCCAUAGCUGGUCUGAGAGGAUGAUCAGCCACACUGGGACUGAGACACGGCCCAGACUCCUACGGGAGGCAGCAGUGGGGAAUAUUGGACAAUGGGCGAAAGCCUGAUCCAGCAAUGCCGCGUGAGUGAUGAAGGCCUUAGGGUUGUAAAGCUCUUUUACCCGGGAUGAUAAUGACAGUACCGGGAGAAUAAGCUCCGGCUAACUCCGUG